GAUGAACGCUGACAGCAUGCUUAACACAUGCAAGUCUUUGGCGAAGCUGUGCUUGCACAGCCUAGCCAAGGCGGACGGGUGAGUAACGCGUAAGGAACUUGCCCUGCAGUCAGGGAUAACAGACGGAAACGACUGAUAAGACCUGGUAAAGUCAGGCGGACUCAUGUCCAGCCUGAUGAAAAGAGAUGCUGCAGGAGAGCCUUGCGUCCUAUUAGCUUGUUGGUGGGGUAACGGCCCACCAAGGCGAUGAUAGGUAGCCGGCCUGAGAGGGUGGACGGCCACAAGGGGACUGAGAUACGGCCCUUACUCCUACGGGAGGCAGCAGUGGGGAAUAUGGGACAAUGGGGGCAACCCUGAUCCAGCAAUUCUGUGUGCACGAUGAAGGUUUUCGGAUUGUAAAGUGCUUUCAGCAGGGAAGAAAAAAUGACGGUACCUGCAGAAGAAGCGACGGCUAAAUACGUG
This 462-nucleotide ribosomal RNA is filed under the name uncultured bacterium. RNAcentral describes it as "partial 16S ribosomal RNA". It matches the Rfam family "Bacterial small subunit ribosomal RNA", at positions 28 to 507 of the family's 1533-position model. The record is from RNAcentral.